Molecule: ribosomal RNA, 703 nt
Filed under: uncultured bacterium
Lineage: Bacteria
Description: bacterial SSU rRNA
Rfam family: Bacterial small subunit ribosomal RNA
Source: RNAcentral
AUUAGAUACCCUGGGUAGUCCACGCAGUAAACGAUGAAUACUAAUUGUGGGGGACGAAUGAGUCCUGGGUGAUACAGCGAAAGCGUUAAGUAUUCCACCUGGGGAGUACGCCGGCAACGGUGAAACUCAAAGGAAUUGACGGGGGCCCGCACAAGCGGAGGAACAUGUGGUUUAAUUCGAUGAUACGCGAGGAACCUUACCCGGGCUCAAACGACACAGGAAUACUUUUGAAAGGAGGUAGCCAGCAAUGGUCUGUGUCGAGGUGCUGCAUGGUUGUCGUCAGCUCGUGCCGUGAGGUGUCGGCUUAAGUGCCAUAACGAGCGCAACCCCUACCGCCAGUUGCCAGCAGGUAAAGCUGGGGACUCUGGCGGGACUGCCGGCGCAAGCUGCGAGGAAGGCGGGGAUGACGUCAAAUCAGCACGGCCCUUACGUCCGGGGCGACACACGUGUUACAAUGGCAGGUACAGCGGGAAGCCACCUGGCGACAGGGCGCGGAACCCGAAAACCUGUCUCAGUUCGGAUUGGAGUCUGCAACCCGACUCCAUGAAGCUGGAUUCGCUAGUAAUCGCGCAUCAGCCACGGCGCGGUGAAUACGUUCCCGGGCCUUGUACACACCGCCCGUCAAGCCAUGGAAGCCGGGAGUGCCUGAAGUACGCGACCGCAAGGAGCGUCCUAAGGCAAUACCGGUGACUGGGGCUAAGUC